UACGAAGGUGGCAGGCGUUAUCCGGAAUUAUUGGGCGUAAAGCGUUCCUCGGUUGUUUAGUAGGUUUUUCGUCAAACCUUUGGGCUUAACCCAAAUCUCGCGAAAAAAACUACUAAGCUUUGAGUGCGGAAGAGGUCAACGGAAUAGCCGGUGUAGUAGUAAAAUGCGUUUAUAUCGGCUAGAACACCAAAAGCGAAGGCAGUUGACUAGGACGCCACUGACACUCAUGGAACGAAAGCGUGGGGAGCGAAAGGG
Molecule: ribosomal RNA, 255 nt
Filed under: uncultured bacterium
Lineage: Bacteria
Description: partial 16S ribosomal RNA
Rfam family: Bacterial small subunit ribosomal RNA
Source: RNAcentral